This 1150-nucleotide long non-coding RNA is filed under the name Pogona vitticeps (central bearded dragon). RNAcentral's name for it is "lncRNA (ENSPVIG00000011478.1)". Lineage: Eukaryota; Metazoa; Chordata; Lepidosauria; Squamata; Agamidae. The record is from RNAcentral.
GAAUUCUUACAUAAGGACAAUGUGGUUUAACAUUAGAUUCACUUUGGAGGAAACUAUGUUAGUGACAUGAGAAAGUAAUUUUUAAAUCUCCAUUCAAAACAUUAAAAUUGAGAUUCUAAGAAACAAACCAAAAUUCUAGGUGCUGUACUAAUGGUCCCCUGACCCUGGAAACAUUAAUUAAUGGUGAGAAAGCACUGUAGUGAUUUUAACACACACACACACACACACAUACAGAGAGAGAGAGAGAGAGAGAUCCCUUUAAACCUAUGCAAGCAUUUAUUUGGCAGACCAAAUUACUUCCCAGGAUGAAUAAGUAGAAUUCACCAGAGGUAAAAAGAACAGACAAAAUGUGGGGAGAUUAGGAAAGACAUGGGAGAAGGAAAAGAAAACAUUCCAACAGGAAGACUAAGGAGAGAGAAAGGAGAUCAACAGGUGUUUGAGCAAAGCAUUUGUUAGUCAAAUGUUUCUCUUUUGGUAUCUCCUCAAAUAUAUUAGCCUGCUAUGCAUGUUGUAGCCUCCCCAGAUACCUGCAUAUACAUCCAAUAUGUUCAGAGGAAACCAGACCCUCCAAGAGUGACGUAUUCCUUGGAGGAACUGGAUUUUUCCUUAACUCCCAAGAUAACUUUACGGGAUGAGCAGUCUCAGUAGUAUUCCUAGAAACAAAAGAGGGAAGGGCUCACUGUCUGGUUUGCACAUCACUGAUCACUGGAAGAUUGAACAUUCCGCUUCAGAGGAAGAGCAAGAAGAAGAUUUUGUUAUUAUUAUUCUUUUGUAUGGCACCAUGAAUGAGAAUGAUGUUGUGCAGAGGAACCCCAUAUAUCUACUCAUAUGUAAAUCCCAUUGAUGUCAAUGGUGCAUAGGAGUGGAUAGGAAAAAGGGCCUACAGAGUAAAAGAGAAUGAGGCCUAAAAAAGAAAGAAAGAAAGAAAGAAAGAAAGAAAGAAAGAAAAAGAAAUCUAAUGCCAGGCUUUUUGGACAGAGUGAUGCAACAGGGAAUCCCAGAAAUACUGGAUUAGGAGCUACAAGCAAUAUGCUGGCAUUUGCUGCCUAGUCACUCUUCCUUGCAGCAGGAACAGGUAAACAAACUACAAGGAAGGUUGUGGCUUGUCUGUUCUUUCCUUUGCAUAUGUGUGCCUUAUUUUUUUCUGGUU